GUUUGAGAGGUCAAGCCAGAAAAUUCUGUCCUGAUGAGGCAAAGCAUGGGGUCCCUCUUGACUGGCAACUCAAUGAAAACGGCCCUGGAAGGCAGGAGCGUGAGACCAGGGGAGUUUUCUGAAACAUCCUGAUGCACUAGGGCAUGUUGGAGGAUGGCCAACUCAUUCAACAGUUCAUUACCGAUUGAACAUUAGACUGAUGUUGGCUUGACUUUGUGAUUUGUCAUCUCAGCACAAAAGUCGCUUUGUUGACCACAGCCUGGCAUCAGCCUGGGCGCCUGCCAGCAUAAUCUGUCCUAGACAGCCGCUCACUGAGCCACGGACAGGGUGGGCAUAAGCUGGGCAUGGAGCAUGGCGAGAGGGCGACUGCGGGCAAAGGCGGGACUGGAGUCACAGCUGUGACCCCAUUCCCCAGACACCCCCUUCCAUUUCCCUUCCUCAUCAUUCUUAUAGCUUGGCUCUGUAACCAGUCACCAGAGCAUGUGUCACUGAGCCACUGCUCCAGUUCUGAGUGCCUUUUUCAAAAGCCAUUUGAUAUUUACUCCAACUAACACCAACAACGUUAAGCUAUUUUUUGGAAGGCUUUGCCUCAAUUUCCCCCCAUGGGAUCAAUACACUUUAGCCUUUCUUCUCUUUAUACUUGAAGAAUACAUGUCAUCUGUUGGUUGGGUCAGCAAAUGCACAAAAUAAAG
Molecule: long non-coding RNA, 692 nt
Organism: Monopterus albus (swamp eel)
Lineage: Eukaryota; Metazoa; Chordata; Actinopteri; Synbranchiformes; Synbranchidae
Exons: 4
Source: RefSeq, a predicted model, not a curated record